Molecule: long non-coding RNA, 1591 nt
Organism: Oncorhynchus tshawytscha (Chinook salmon)
Lineage: Eukaryota; Metazoa; Chordata; Actinopteri; Salmoniformes; Salmonidae
Source: Ensembl
UGAAGUAACAAUGUUUAUUGUAACACCAGGGGCAGGCAAAUGACAGGUCAAGGCAGGCAGUCAGGCUCAGGGUCAGGGACAGGCAUAGUUCAGUAUCCAGAGAUGGAGCAAAGGUACCGAAAGGCAGACAGGGUCAGGGACAGGCAGAGGUCAAAUAUCCAGAGGUGGGACAAAGGUACCGAACGGCAGACAGGCUCAGGGUAGGCAGAGGUCAAAUAUCCAGAGGUGGGACAAAGGUACCGAAUGGCAGACAGGCUCAGGGUAGGCAGAGGUCAAAUAUCCAGAGGUGGGACAAAGGUAAAGGACGGCAGGCAGGAUCAGGGUCCGGGACAGGCAGAGUAGUCAGGCAGGUGGGUACAAGGUCAGGACAGGCAAGGGUCAAAAACCAGGAGGUAGAGAAAAAGACAGGUAGCUGACAGGACGCACCUUGGUAAGCUUGACAAACAAGAUGAACUGGCAACAGACAAACAGAAAACACAGGUAUAAGUACAAAGGGAUAAUGGGGAAGAUGGGCGACACCUGGAGAAGGGUGGAGACAAGCAGAAAGACAGGUGAAACAGAUCAGGCCGUGACAAACUAUAGUUUUGGCAAGUCGGUUAGGACAUCGACUCUGGGAAACACAAAGUACUACGUAGAGCCAUGCCAUGACUACAUGGAACUCUAUUCCACAUCAUGUAACAGUCAAGCAGUAAAAUCAGAUUGAAAAAACAGAUAAAACUACAAAUCAAAUCAAAUCAAAGUUUACUUGUCACUUGCGCCGAAUACAACAGGUGUAGUACAUGCAGGUCAACUUACAGUGAAAUACUUACUUACAGGCUCUAACCAAUAGUGCAAAAAAGGUGUUUGGUGAACAAUAGGUAUGUAAAGAAAUAAAACAACAGUGAAAAGACAGGCUAUAUACAGUAGCGAGGCUAUAAAAGUAGCGAGGCUACAUAUAGACACCGGUUAAUCAGGCUGAUUGAGGUAGUAUGUACAUGUAGUUAUGGUUGAAGUGACUAUGCAUAUAUGAUGAACAGAGAGUAGCAGUAGUGUAAAAGAGGGGUUGGUGGGUGGUGAGACACAAUGCAGAUAGCCCGGUUAGCCAAUGUGCGGGUGCACACCUUAUGGAACAUUGCGGGCAGGCACACACACACAUGCUAAAACACGCACUCUACACACAUACACUGCUAUUUUGCUCUAUUAUUUAUGUUGUAUUGUAGAUAUGUUAUGGAAGAGUGGUGUGUAAUUACGUGUUUUGUUAUGUACUGUUUUAUUGUAUGUAAUUGGUAAUCGUGGUUGGGCCCAAGGAAUAGUAGCUGCUGCCUUGGAAGGAGCUAACGAGGCUCGGAAUAAUUCUUAUUUUUUGAGUGGGGUGAGAGAAGUCCAUGUAAAAAGAGAAGGAGAUCUAAUGGCAGGCAGUCGUCCUUACGCCCUAAAACAGUCGUUUGGAAGAGAGGGUCUUGGUGAUUUGGAAGUUGAGCAGAGCCCUGUUCUGCGGUGGCCUUUCCUGAUCCUUCACUGACUCCAGCAGGAUGGUGAUCAGCUCCGGUCACAGGUGUGGACAGUCCAGACAGGCUACCUUGGCUAUUAGCACCGCUUCCUGGGAGGCUAU